UAGCGGAGGGUGCAAGCGUUAAUCGGAAUUACUGGGCGUAAAGCGUGCGUAGGUGGUUGAUUAAGUUAUCUGUGAAAUCCCUGGGCUUAACCUGGGCAGGUCAGAUGAUACUGGUUGACUCGAGUAUGGGAGAGGGUAGUGGAAUUUCCGGUGUAGCGGUGAAAUGCGUAGAGAUCGGAAGGAACACCAGUGGCGAAGGCGGCUACCUGGCCUAAUACUGACACUGAGGCACGAAAGCGUGGGGAGCAAACAGG
RNAcentral lists this ribosomal RNA (254 nucleotides) under uncultured bacterium. RNAcentral describes it as "partial 16S ribosomal RNA". It matches the Rfam family "Bacterial small subunit ribosomal RNA", at positions 523 to 776 of the family's 1533-position model. The record is from RNAcentral.